Molecule: long non-coding RNA, 1324 nt
Organism: Mirounga angustirostris (Northern elephant seal)
Lineage: Eukaryota; Metazoa; Chordata; Mammalia; Carnivora; Phocidae
Exons: 2
Source: RefSeq, a predicted model, not a curated record
CGAUAUGGCUGGCGCCGGGGCGGUGGCGGCGAGGGCGGGGCGUCGGGCAUCGCUUCUCGGCCUUUUGGCUAAGAUCAAGUGUAGUAUCUGUUCUUAUCAGUUUAAUAUCUGAUACGUCCUCUACCGAGGACAAUAUAUUAAAUGGAUUUUUGGAGCCGGGAGAUGGACUAGGAGCUUGCUCCGUCCACUCCGCGCAUCGACCUGGUAUUGCAGUACUUCCAGGAACGGUGUACCCUUCGGGGUCUAAAUGUUUGGUACCUAAUGACAGACUGUUUUUAUUGCUAUUGCGUAUUGAGUAGGUUUUCUCAAGUGCUUUGUUUUCUGCUCCUCAGGUUGUAAAUACUGUUUUACAGUAAAAACUUCUAUGGACUCGUUUCUUGGAUUUUAUUUAUUUGACACAGAGAGACAGCAAGAGAGAAGCAGGUCUCCCGCCGAGCGGGGAGCCCGAUGCGGGGCUCGAUCCCAGGACCCCAGGAUUAUGACCUGAGCCGAAGGCAGACGCUCAACGACUGAGCUACCCAGGCGCCCCCAGGAUACCAUCGAUCUUUCGUCUUGCUCCUGCCUUUGGGGUUGAAGCAGUUUACUUCGUGUUUUAAACCGCGGUUAUUUUUAAAUGUGAUGGAGGAGCGCACACAGGCCGCCCAUCUUCCCCUUAACCGUGCUUUUCAAAAUCCUGCACGAAGGUAAAAAGUUUCAUUAACCUCCGAGUUAAUGGGGCGGCAUACUGUCUCUCUACAGGGCCAGAGAGUAAAUGGUUUUUAGGCUUCAAGGGCCCCAAAAGGUCUGCGUGACCUAUUCUUUCACAACCCUUUAAAAAUGUAAAAUGCGUUGUGGGCUCUCCGCAUACAAGAACGAGCCUGGCCAGGCGCCUGGGUGGCUCAGCCGGUUAAGCAUCUGCCUUCGGCUCAGGUCAUCGUGAUCCCAGGGUCCUGGGAUCGGGGAGCCCGCUUCUCCCUCCCUCUGCCUGCUGCUCCCCCAGCUUGUGCUCUCUGUCAAAUAGAUGAAUAAAAUCUUAAGAAACAAAAAAACCCACAAACAAGCCUGGGCAAAUUUGCUGGCCGGCUGUAGCUUGCGGACACCUGGUAUAAACAUACCGGCUUUGUGUCUCGUCCCAGAGACAACGCCCCCCUUCAGGCUUUUUGCUAGUCCUCUGCCUGAAUGCCAGAAAGGCCUGACUGACGAUUGCACUUGCACGUGGCUUUGUGACCACAGUAGAAACCGAGAGUUCCUGCUCACCUGUGACUCUCCUGGUUUUUGCAGUCACCUUGAAGACGUUUGUUGAGCACUCACAAUGUACUCUUGAUUAAAUACCUUUCUGUUGUCA